AUUGAACGCUGGCGGCAGGCCUAACACAUGCAAGUCGAGCGGAUGAAGGGAGCUUGCUCCUGGAUUCAGCGGCGGACGGGUGAGUAAUGCCUAGGAAUCUGCCUGGUAGUGGGGGAUAACGUCCGGAAACGGGCGCUAAUGCCGCAUAGGUCCUGAGGGAGAAAGUGGGGGAUCUUCGGACCUCACGCUAUCAGAUGAGCCUAGGUCGGAUUAGCUAGUUGGUGGGGUAAAGGCCUACCAAGGCGACGAUCCGUAACUGGUCUGAGAGGAUGAUCAGUCACACUGGAACUGAGACACGGUCCAGACUCCUACGGGAGGCAGCAGUGGGGAAUAUUGGACAAUGGGCGAAAGCCUGAUCCAGCCAUGCCGCGUGUGUGAAGAAGGUCUUCGGAUUGUAAAGCACUUUAAGUUGGGAGGAAGGGCAGUAAGUUAAUACCUUGCUGUUUUGACGUUACCAACAGAAUAAGCACCGGCUAACUUCGUG
This 484-nucleotide ribosomal RNA is filed under the name uncultured bacterium. RNAcentral describes it as "partial 16S ribosomal RNA". It matches the Rfam family "Bacterial small subunit ribosomal RNA", at positions 30 to 507 of the family's 1533-position model. The record is from RNAcentral.